Dalotia coriaria is the source of this 1578-nucleotide long non-coding RNA. RefSeq lists it as uncharacterized. The record is from RefSeq and is a predicted model, not a curated record. The transcript has 2 exons. Lineage: Eukaryota; Metazoa; Arthropoda; Insecta; Coleoptera; Staphylinidae.
GUCAUAGAGUCGCAUGUGUACGACGUGCAAUUAUAUCAUACAGAGUGCAAGUUAAACUUUACCAGUCUCGCAGCGUUUAUGUUAGUUUCACACUUUUGAAAAGUUGUAAAUACUUGAGAAAUGCGAUAAAAUUUAGUAAUGAUUUAUGUGUGAAAGUGAAAGGUAAAUAGAAAUAAAUGAUUCAAAAAUGUUUUUUUUUAAUCUGGGCACGCUGUAUGCACAUUAAUACUUUUUAAUACAUUUUUUAUCUUUUACUUCAGACGUCGUGCGUAUUUUACGGUUAUUGACGCUUAAAUUAUGCAAUGCAAUUGUUUAAUACUUGUUUUACGUUAAUUUAUAUUUAUGGGUGCUUUAGGGGUACACUUGGUAGCCAAGAAUUAAUUUAUAAUAGGAAAUUGUAUUAAGAAUCGAAGAUAUUCGUGAUUUUUGAUGUAGAAGAGGCCCAUUUUCAACGACUUUGUAAUUUUAUUUAGCGUAGAUACGACGUAUAUUUGAUUAAAAGCCUGGUAGAAGUAUAAAACUUUUGCGGAAUAAUCUAACAACAUUAUUACAUCGUUUAUCUUCUUCCUGGAAUACGUAGUUCAUAGUAUUAUAUUUAUUUAAAAUUGAAUUACAUUUCAUUUUGAGUUUUACCACGAGGGCAUCGUCAGUAAAAAUGUAUACUAAAAACAAAUGAUAUUCAAUUCAGGUACAAUUUUAAAUAAAUGUUAUUAAACAGGUAGAAAACUGCAGAAUAUCUGGUUAGUGUUUAGUAUGUUUGUGGUAUUCGUACAUAGAUGGCGCUGAAAUCAAGUUCUGGUUUGUUUCUUAACUAAUGCGAAUGGAAGUUUGAAAAACCAUGUGCCUACUUGUUUACAACACACUUUAACUAACUACUAACCUAGAAUGUUAUCAAAAUAUUGUAGUAAAUCGCGUAAGUAGUGUUACAAACUAAUUACAUAGCAAAGAGUGUGUAUGCAAAUUGAAUAUAGAUCAUGGUUCGACUUAAGCACAGAUAUCUAGUAGUGCUUGUAACAGACACAGAUAAUAAUAAACCUGCCAAAUUGGAUGAAAAAUGCGUCUAUUUAUCAAUAAGCAACACAGUGCGAUAUUUACAUGGUGUGUUUGGUGAUGCCGCAGUACACAAUGGCUUGUGUGUAAAGUACAUCAAUAAACACACUGGUUUAGUGGUGAUUCGUGCCAGAAGAGGAACCCAUAGGUUAUUGGCAAGUGCUUUGCCAAUGGUUCGAACUGCAUCUAUUAACAAUAAAGAGACUGCUAAUAUUAGUAUUUCAACUUUGUACACUGGUGCAUGUGUGAAACAAUGUCUGCUCUUCAUUAAAAGAUAUCAAAUGGAUGAAUAUCACAAAGCAGCAGUGACUAUGAGUGAAGAAGAACGCCAAGAACUUAAAGAAAUGUUCAUGAACUAUUCACUUGCUAUUUAAUGUGGCAAUUGAUUUAUAUUAAUUGACUGCCUAGAUAUAUGAAAGCACUUACAAUUAACUGUGUUGUCUAGUAAUUAAAAUAUUUACACAUGUGUUGUUGUUAUUAUUAACCAUAUAGCAAAAAUUUAUUAAUUAAAAUAACUUCAAAAAUGCA